UACGGAGGGUGCUAGCGUUGUUCGGAAUUAUUGGGCGUAAAGGGCGCGUAGGCGGUUUGUUAAGUCGGCUGUGAAAGCCCGGGGCUCAACCCCGGAGGGUCAGCCGAUACUGGCAGACUAGAGUACGGAAGAGGUAGCUGGAAUUCCCGGUGUAGCGGUGAAAUGCGUAGAUAUCAUUUGGAACGCCAAUGGUGAAAACAGGUAGCUGGGGCUGUGCUGACACUGAGACACGAAAGCCAGGGGAGCAAACGGG
Molecule: ribosomal RNA, 253 nt
Filed under: uncultured bacterium
Lineage: Bacteria
Description: partial 16S ribosomal RNA
Rfam family: Bacterial small subunit ribosomal RNA
Source: RNAcentral